Molecule: long non-coding RNA, 1753 nt
Organism: Meriones unguiculatus (Mongolian gerbil)
Lineage: Eukaryota; Metazoa; Chordata; Mammalia; Rodentia; Muridae
Exons: 2
Source: RefSeq, a predicted model, not a curated record
AGUCCAGCAGCCUUUAGUGCAAGCACAGGCUGUGCAGCCACUGCUGCUAUCCUAGAACAUUUCAUCAUCCCAGUGAAACAGUUCCUGGCUUCCCACAAGGACCCUGGCUAACUCCCAUUCCACUUUCCAUCUCUAGCCUGGGGGCUGACGGGAAAAAAGGAAUGAGGCACCAACAUAAGCACAACAACCUGGUGGGCGCUGAAGAUAUGACGCUGAGGGACAAAGAAGCCAGAUACAAAAGGUCACACAUUAUGUGAUUCUGUUUAAGGAAGAUGUCCAGAAUAGGUGACAAUGGAAACAAAAAGCCCUUUCAUUGUUGCCAGGGGGCUGGAGCAAAACGGAGACUGCCAAUGGGUGUGGGGUUCCCCUUUUAAAGGAUAGAGUGUUCUGCGAUGAGGAAGAGGGUGGACGCGCGUCACUGUGGAUAUGCUAAAUGUCGCCUUGUGCACUUUAAAAGAGUUUACUUUUUCACAAUCUGAAUGCCACCAUGCUUCACCACAUGAAUUUCCCCAGAAAAAUGUAAAGAGACAUGUAUUCUCCCCACACUGAGAGGGGGCCAAAGGAAGGAUUUCACACAAUCCAGCUUGGUGAACCAAUGUGGUCUUUUGGGUUACUUACAAGGUUGUGGAUGACUCAAAGGCAGCUACACCAGUGAGAAGUUCAUCAGACAACAAUACUGCUGAAGAGUCACAUCUGCUGCAUGGACAGAGCACAGAAAGAUGCACCCCUGGAGAGUCUCACUGGGCCACAGAGCACAAACUACCGAAGAAAUUACCUCCGAAUGAGGGGCCUGUGAGGAUCCCUUGAAGUAAACACCAGCAGCAGUACACCCAUGGGCCUCCCGACUCCAGGAAUGUGAAUAGGUCCAAUCUCAGAAAGAUCUUGCAUUAGGACCACAGCCAGUGAUCAAGUCCAAUCAGAGAGUGUAGCAAUGCAAAACACCUGAGUUAAAGAGAAGCCCGCACUCAGCUGCACUUUCCUGUGUUUGGAAGCCCCCGCUGUCUCUCUUGUUUUCUCCCAGCCCCUUUCUUGAGCUCUACACACUUCCACCUAUGUAGGAGCCCACUCUAUCUUCUCCUCCAGGGGCUUGGAUCUUCAGUUUUCCAGUGCUAUCAAGAUAUAGGGGGAAAGGAGGAAGCUGGGGAAUCUACAACAGGGGAGAACAGGUGGGUCCAGGCCUGAGACCCUAGGACUCUUCUCCAAGUUCAAAACCAGCACAGGCACUCUGGGAACUCCAAGAGAAAUGUAUCAGCCUGUCCUAUCUGACUAGACUCUUAGGCCCCAGCAACGUAAGAGUGACUUCGGAUGAUCAGAGAAGCCUCAAAUAGGGUCUCAGCACCCUAAGCAGGUUCUGCUGCUCUGAACACACUCUUGGACAUCAAGGGAUACACCCGACUACUGCCAAGGGGACCUGUCUUGGUUUGCUUUCUGUUACUGUGAUAAAUACCACAACUUGGGGAGUGUGGUGGUUUGAAUAAGUAUGCCCCCAUAGGCUCAUAUUUGAAUGCUUUAUCACCAGGAAGUGCACUGUCUGAAAGGAUUAGAAGGAUCCUUAUUGGAGGCAGUGUACAGCUGGGAGUGGGCAUUUGAAUGUUAAACCCAGAGUCUUUCUCUGUGUGUGUGUCUAUGGAUCAGGAUGUAGCUCCAGCGCCUGCCUGCAUGCCUCCAUGCUCUUGCACCAUGACGAGCAGUAGACUAAAUCUCUGAAACUGUAAGAAAGCCUCUAAUUAAAUGCUUUCUCUUAUAACAGUUA